UUAACUUAUCAACCAUGUUUCAUAUCUGGAACGUGGCUUGGAUGUGGGGGCUCUUUUGCAGGCCCUUAUGGGUCGGCUCCCCUGAAACGCAUUAGUGGCAUCUGAGCUGCUACUGUAGGUGUGAUAAAUUAUCUAUGCCUUUGGUACGCUGCAUGAACAGAUCGCGCUGCUCAGAACCAAAACUUGACAA
Molecule: unclassified non-coding RNA, 190 nt
Filed under: uncultured Inocybe
Lineage: Eukaryota; Fungi; Basidiomycota; Agaricomycetes; Agaricales; Cortinariaceae
Description: sequence contains ITS2
Source: RNAcentral